Molecule: ribosomal RNA, 197 nt
Filed under: uncultured bacterium
Lineage: Bacteria
Description: partial 16S ribosomal RNA
Rfam family: Bacterial small subunit ribosomal RNA
Source: RNAcentral
GGCUGAAAUUCGCCUUCAUGAAGUCGGAAUUGCUAGUAAUGGCAGGUCAGCAUACUGCCGUGAAUACGUUCCCGGGCCUUGUACACACCGCCCGUCACACCAUGAGAGUUGGAGAUACCCGAAGCCUAUGAGCUAACUUUUAGAGGCAGUAGUCGAAGGUAGAAUCAACGAUUGGGGUGAAGUCGUAACAAGGUAUC